This 793-nucleotide ribosomal RNA is filed under the name uncultured Bacteroidota bacterium. Its description in RNAcentral is "bacterial SSU rRNA". It matches the Rfam family "Bacterial small subunit ribosomal RNA", at positions 1 to 784 of the family's 1533-position model. Lineage: Bacteria; Pseudomonadati; Bacteroidota. The record is from RNAcentral.
GGAUCCAGACUUUGAUCAUGGCUCAGGAUGAACGCUAGCUACAGGCCUAACACAUGCAAGUCGAGGGGAAACGGCAGCUUAGCUUGCUAAGCUGGACGUCGACCGGCGCACGGGUGAGUAACGCGUAUCCAACCUGCCCCACGGUGAGGGAUAACCCGCGGAAACGCGGCCUAAUACCUCAUGGUCUCCGAGCUUGACAUCAACCUUGGAGUAAAGAUUCAUUGCCGUGGGAUGGGGAUGCGUCUGAUUAGCUUGUUGGCGGGGCAACGGCCCACCAAGGCAACGAUCAGUAGGGGUUCUGAGAGGAAAGCCCCCCACAUUGGAACUGAGACACGGUCCAAACUCCUACGGGAGGCAGCAGUGAGGAAUAUUGGUCAAUGGGCAAGAGCCUGAACCAGCCAAGUAGCGUGCAGGAUGACGGCCCUAUGGGUUGUAAACUGCUUUUAUGCGGGGAUAAAGCGGGCGACGUGUCGCCCUUUGCAGGUACCGCAUGAAUAAGGACCGGCUAAUUCCGUGCCAGCAGCCGCGGUAAUACGGAAGGUCCGGGCGUUAUCCGGAUUUAUUGGGUUUAAAGGGAGCGCAGGCCGGGUAUUAAGCGUGUUGUGAAAUGUAGGCGCCCAACGUCUGCACCGCAGCGCGAACUGGUGCCCUUGAGUACGCACGACGUUGGCGGAAUUCGCCGUGUAGCGGUGAAAUGCUUAGAUAUGGCGAAGAACUCCGAUUGCGAAGGCAGCUGACGGGAGCGCUACUGACGCUCAUGCUCGAAAGCGCGGGUAUCGAACAGGAUUAGAUA